GGUGAAGAGAUCUUGUGGUUUUUAAGAACCUGCCGGCAAGAGUUUGCCUUGCCGUCAGCCUGGUCUACUGUAUCCCAGCAUCCUCUGCGGUUGCAGAUGGUGCGAGGACACUUAAAGGAGCUCACAGAAUCCCAGUAGCACAAAAUUGGGCUUUGGCAAAUCAUGUAUUUUGUGUAUAGAGGGAAUCUAAGGAGAGGAAUUGCUUAUUUUCAUAUUGUAUUUUAACUGUUUCUCUGAUCAGAAUUUUUUUACUUCCUCCUCCUGUUCCUCCCCUGCCCCCCACGCCCACUCCCCACUCCAGUCUCUGGAGUUCAAUGUCUUCUCUGCCAAUCAUCUCUGUUUAUUUCUCCUUCCCUUCCCCACGCCCCCUAUCUGUGGUCAUAAAUAUUGCAUUAUCCAUCCUUUCAAACUGUGUAUUUUCUUACAAUAAAAAAUGAUGACG
RNAcentral lists this long non-coding RNA (442 nucleotides) under Mus musculus (house mouse). RNAcentral describes it as "long non-coding RNA chr5:117274652-117275094". The record is from RNAcentral. Lineage: Eukaryota; Metazoa; Chordata; Mammalia; Rodentia; Muridae.